This is a long non-coding RNA of Amphiprion ocellaris (clown anemonefish), 1000 nucleotides long. NCBI's taxonomy places the organism in Eukaryota, Metazoa, Chordata, Actinopteri, Pomacentridae. The record is from Ensembl.
CUAAAGGAUUGAGAUUAAGAAAUCAAAUAUUCUAUAAAAUGUAAAUACACUGAACUCAUUUGAAUAUAUUUAAGUGAGACUCUACAAUAUUAUUUGACACAAAUCUAUCUAAAUCAGAAUUUUAAUAAUUUUCACGCCAAACAUUUACUGGACUGAUUUAAACAUUAAAAUCACUCCUUUCUAAUCCUCUGCUGUACGUUCAAACCUGAGGCCUUAAAUAGAAACACACAAGUAUCUGAUUGAAGGAACUUCUGCAGAGUCCUGGUUCCAGAACAUGAUGAUAGAAUUAUAGACAAACUUUAACAAAAGCUGCCUGAGAGUUUACAGGUUUUUAUGUUAGAUUUCUUCAGUAAUUUAAUGAGAGUUACCAGCAAAAAUCAAGUGUUUAUUUGAUGAACUUCAUUUCCUAAAACAUCCAGAAUUGGAGCUCAUAUCUUUGGCAGUUGUAAAGUUUCUGCUCCUUUAAAGUUCACAACACAAUGAAUGAAUUCCUAAAACACUCUCAAUGCUGGAGAGUGUUUGUGAUGCUGAAGCAGUGACCAGUUUUUCUGUUUCUUCUCUGGAGAUGCACAAUGAGGGACGUCUGCAGAGACUGAGAAAGAGUCUCACCACAUCCUGACAUGAGGAAAAAGACUUUAUUGAAGACUACGAUGAGAAAAACUAUCAGACAGCAGACGGCUGCAUUCAAGUCUGUAGCUGCUGAAUUCAUGGAUGAAUCAUCUGGCACUAGAGAAGAAGACCAUCAAACAUCCACGUCAGCUGAUGGAGGUCCAAGAGUCUCACCAAACAACCAACCUACAGAGUGAAGACCUCAAAUCUGAUUGGAUGGCCUCCUAUUCAGCCACGUGUGAACAAAUGCCUCUAAGCUGAUUUGUUUUCUAAAAUAAAUCUAGUUUGAGUCCUAAUCUAUGCCUGUGUGUUUGCUCCUUUACACUGCUGUUAACAGUUUAGGCUGUUAGAUUGUUCCAGAUAAGACAAGUACAAGAUUCUUCAGAGCCGG